CCUACGGGAGGCAGCAGUAGGGAAUCUUAGACAAUGGGGGCAACCCUGAUCUAGCCAUGCCGCGUGUGUGAUGAAGGCCCUAGGGUCGUAAAGCACUUUCGCCAGAGAUGAUAAUGACAGUAUCUGGUAAAGAAACCCCGGCUAACUCCGUGCCAGCAGCCGCGGUAAUACGGAGGGGGUUAGCGUUGUUCGGAAUUACUGGGCGUAAAGCGCACGUAGGCGGAUUGGAAAGUUGGGGGUGAAAUCCCGGGGCUCAACCCCGGAACUGCCUCCAAAACUAUCAGUCUAGAGUUCGAGAGAGGUGAGUGGAAUUCCAAGUGUAGAGGUGAAAUUCGUAGAUAUUUGGAGGAACACCAGUGGCGAAGGCGGCUCACUGGCUCGAUACUGACGCUGAGGUGCGAAAGUGUGGGGAGCAAACAGGAUUAGAUACCCUGGUAGUCCACGCCGUAAACGAUGUCAACUAGGUGUUGGGGAGGUUAAUCUUCUCAUUGCCGCAGCUAACGCAUUAAGUUGACCGCCUGGGGAGUACGGUCGCAAGAUUAAAACUCAAAGGAAUUGACGG
Molecule: ribosomal RNA, 562 nt
Filed under: uncultured Alphaproteobacteria bacterium
Lineage: Bacteria; Pseudomonadati; Pseudomonadota; Alphaproteobacteria
Description: bacterial SSU rRNA
Rfam family: Bacterial small subunit ribosomal RNA
Source: RNAcentral